This 831-nucleotide ribosomal RNA is filed under the name uncultured archaeon. RNAcentral describes it as "bacterial SSU rRNA". It matches the Rfam family "Archaeal small subunit ribosomal RNA", at positions 21 to 859 of the family's 1478-position model. The record is from RNAcentral.
CCUGACUGCUAUCGGAUUGAUACUAAGCCAUGCGAGUCUUUGUAGCAAUACAAGGCAGACGGCUCAGUAACGCGUAGUCAACCUAACCUAUGGAUGGGAAUAACCUCGGGAAACUGAGAAUAAUGCCCAAUAGAACACUAUACCUGGAAUGGUUUGUGUUCCAAAUGAUUUAUCGCCGUAGGAUGGGACUGCGGCCUAUCAGUUUGUUGGUGAGGUAAUGGCCCACCAAGACUAUUACAGGUACGGGCUCUGAGAGGAGUAGCCCGGAGAUGGGUACUGAGACACGGACCCAGGCCCUAUGGGGCGCAGCAGGCGAGAAAACUUUGCAAUGUGCGAAAGCACGUCAAGGUUAAUCCGAGUGACUUGUGCUAAACGAAUCUUUUGUUAGUCCUAGAAACACUAACGAAUAAGGGGUGGGCAAGUUCUGGUGUCAGCCGCCGCGGUAAAACCAGCACCUCAAGUGGUCAGGAUGAUUAUUGGGCCUAAAGCAUCCGUAGCCGGCUCUGUAAGUUUUCGGUUAAAUCUGUACGCUCAACGUACAGGCUGCCGGGAAUACUGCAGAGCUAGGGAGUGGGAGAGGUAGACGGUACUCGGUAGGAAGGGGUAAAAUCCUUUGAUCUAUUGAUGACCACCUGUGGCGAAGGCGGUCUACCAGAACACGUCCGACGGUGAGGGAUGAAAGCUGGGGGAGCAAACCGGAUUAGAUACCCGGGUAGUCCCAGCUGUAAACUAUGCAAACUCAGUGAUGCACUGACUUGUGGUCAAUGCAGUGCUGCAGGGAAGCCGUUAAGUUUGCCGCCUGGGAAGUACGUACGCAAGUAUGAAACUUAA